This is a long non-coding RNA of Bubalus bubalis (water buffalo), 443 nucleotides long. RefSeq lists it as uncharacterized. The transcript has 2 exons. Lineage: Eukaryota; Metazoa; Chordata; Mammalia; Artiodactyla; Bovidae. The record is from RefSeq and is a predicted model, not a curated record.
CCUCCCGGGGUCAAGAAUCCCGGUGUCUUCGCGUGAUUCAACAACCUUUCAUUAGCACGACUGAAGCGACUUAGCAGAGAAAGCAGAGAGAGAGAAGGCAUACCACCACCACCAAGUGGUAAAGUUCCCCGCUGGAUACUGAAUUAGCUAUUUCCUGUCUGGGCUGGAGCAAGAAGGAAUGGGCAGAGAGGAAGAGAUUUCUUCCAGUGUCCCAGCAUCGGAAGGGAAUGAAUGUCUUUCCUGACCUCCUGGGUGGUAUGAUGGGGAGAAGAGAAAAGUCCCUCGACAUUCCUUUCCUACCACCACUUGGUUUGGGUGACAUCUAUCUUCACAUAAAAGUUCUUGAUUGAAAAUCUACACAUCAUAGUAUUAGGGGUAAAAAUCUCUGGAAGAAGAAAAUCAGAAUCUAUACAAAUAAAAUGUUAAUAAUGGCUAUCUUUGAA